AUACGUAUGGGGCGAGCGUUAUCCGGAAUUACUGGGCGUAAAGAGCUCGUAGGUGGUUUGUCGCGUCGUCUGUGAAAUUCCGGGGCUUAACUCCGGGCGUGCAGGCGAUACGGGCAUAACUUGAGUACUGUAGGGGAGACUGGAAUUCCUGGUGUAGCGGUGAAAUGCGCAGAUAUCAGGAGGAACACCGGUGGCGAAGGCGGGUCUCUGGGCAGUAACUGACGCUGAGGAGCGAAAGCAUGGGUAGCGAACAGGAUUAGAUACCCUGGUAGUCCAUGCCGUAAACGGUGGGCGCUAGGUGUAGGGGUCUUCCACGACUUCUGUGCCGUAGCUAACGCAUUAAGCGCCCCGCCUGGGGAGUACGGCCGCAAGGCUAAAACUCAAAUGAAUUGACGGGG
This 398-nucleotide ribosomal RNA is filed under the name uncultured bacterium. RNAcentral's name for it is "partial 16S ribosomal RNA". It matches the Rfam family "Bacterial small subunit ribosomal RNA", at positions 523 to 918 of the family's 1533-position model. The record is from RNAcentral.